AUACUGCAGGGGCCAGGCUGGGAAGUGGCGCCGCCGCCCCCCCAGCGCAGCCCCCCCCCUUGUUUCGUCCCCAGAUGUCGGCCAUGAGCCACGGGAGCGGCCGAGGCGAUGCCCGGGACGCUGCCAGGGUCGCGCAGGCCCCGCCCGGCCGCGUCAAGCGCCGCAGGACCAGGGGCGAGCGCAACCGCGCCAAGUUCGGCAGAUGCCUCCCCAGCAGCACCAGGCGGCAGGGGCCGAGGCCCCCCUGGGGGGGCGUCCCCCCACUCCGGGCUGCACCCCCCCAGCCCAGCCCCCUGCCCCCCCCCCGGCCCGUCAUCAUCACCCAGCAGCGCCUCAGCCGCCCCCGGGGCCUCCUCGGCCGGGGGGUGACAUCGGGGGACAUCCAGCGGCUGCUGGGGGGCGGGCAGGGGGCGGGCCCCCCCCCGGCCGAGGGGCUGGGAUGGCCGGCAGGCAGCCCCCUCCCCGCGCAGGGGCUGGGGAGGGACGGGCGGGCGUCGCCCCCCCAGCCACAAGUCCCUCGGGGGCCGGGGAGGGAGGACGGGGGCUCCCCCCCCCGCACCGGGACGCCCCCCCAGGAGGUGGCCGGCCGCCUGCGGGCCCUCCUGCCGGCCCCGGCCGAGCUGUGGGGCCGCGCCCUGGCGGAGGAGCGGCGCCGCGCCGUGCUCGCAGCCCUGCUGGAGCGCCACUGCGCCCUGCCCGACCUGGCCGCCCUCCUGCCCCGCCGGGGCGUGGGGGCUGCGGGGGGCCUCUCCCACGGGCUGCCCCCUCCUGGGCCGCCCCCUGCCUCCCCCCCCUCGCCGGGGCUCAGCACCCCUGAAAUGGGGCCGCUUCCCCAGGCGGUGCGGAGCAAGGACCCUGCAGCCCAUCGCAGCCACCCCCCUGCACCUCUGCAGGCCGUCACUCAGGCACAAACCUCCCCUUCCUUGUUCCCUCCCCCUGACUUCAGCCCUGAGACAAUGAAGAGGCAGAGCUGUUUCCCCUGGAUGAUGGAGGAUGAAGACGAGGCACACUCUGAAAAACCCGCCAUGCAAUUCUGCGUCCGGACCCCCUCACCACCACUGUUCAGGGCCCGCCACCCUGCACCCUCCCCUGCCUCCUACCUACCCGCAGGGCGCUGCACUCCCGAACCUGAGCUGCUGCCCCAGCCAACUACGAGCAGGAACCCAGCACCCCAGCACCGCUGGCGCCGUGUCUCCCCACAAGCUGUCGAUCAGACUCCAAGCCCCCCUGCUGUUCCUCUGCCCCCUGUUUUCGGUGCCAAGAGGAAGGAGAGGCAGAGCUGGCUCCCCUGGAUGUCGGAAGAUGAGGAUGACACACACCCUGAAGACCCAGCCCCACUGUUCUGUGCCCGGACACCAUCUCCACCACUAUUUGAGGGGCUUCCCCAGCCCCACAUCCCCCUGGGGGAGCCAGGCUGCACAUGCAGGGCAGCAUGGGGCCCCAGGGUAGAGGACAAAGCAGAAGGGCAUGGCCAGAUCUACUGGCGGUCCCGUGUGCCACAGCAUCGCCGGGUGUUAGAGCAUCCCAUGUCAGGGACACACGCCCCACACCACCCCUGCUGGUGCCACAGGGACCAGCGGACACCCCCUACUUUGUACCGGGGCACAUGCCCCUGUGCCCCCUCCCCAUCACACCACCCCUGCAAGCACAGCCCUUGUCCCCACAGCAGGCCUCGGCAUGCCACGAGCUUCCCCACGUGCCGCUGCUCACCCCCUGAAAGCCACCGGCCACGGGGCUGGAGGGGGCCGCUGGAGCCACGGCAAAGGGGGUGGCACCUUUCCUUCUGCCCCCAUGCCACAGUUCCCCACAAUGCACGGGAAAGGGACUCUAGCCCCAAUGUCUGGCUCUUCCCCUGCCUGUACUGAGGGACAUGGGAAGGCAUACUUUAUUGGAGUAACCUCCCUGUGCUCAAUAAAGGCUGUUACACCUUUAUGUGGCUGUGUCCC
This is a long non-coding RNA of Anser brachyrhynchus (Pink-footed goose), 1946 nucleotides long. The record is from Ensembl. NCBI's taxonomy places the organism in Eukaryota, Metazoa, Chordata, Aves, Anseriformes, Anatidae.